Small nuclear RNA from Delphinapterus leucas (beluga whale), 107 nucleotides. Lineage: Eukaryota; Metazoa; Chordata; Mammalia; Artiodactyla; Monodontidae. The record is from Ensembl.
GUACUCGCUUCAGCAGCACAUAUACUAAAAUUGGAAUAAUAUAGAGAAGAUUAGCAUGGCCCCUGCACAAGGAUGAUGCUCAAAUUCUUGAAGCGCCUCCUAUUUUU